CUCUGGUCCUAAAACAUUUCCAUGAAAGGACUGUCAGGAAAAGACCAGAGUCUUUUCUAAGCGCUAUUUUAGUGUCUUUAGCCAACACUGUGUGGCUGGCUAGUGCAUAGACACUGGAAGUCAUGCUUUCUGAAGCCCCUGUCCAGCUGCCUACUGUGGAAUGUAAUGUUUGGGUCUUUGUUUGUAAUCAUUAUAUUUGAAAAAGGUUCAGCGUUCAGCAUUCUUCAUAAAAGUUGGACAGCUUUUUAAAACAUGAUAGCAGUGGUUUAAGGAUUGAAGUUUAUAAUCUAAUGGGAUUUCUAUCUGCCAGGCCUAUUUUCUUAUUAUAUUGACCCAGAUAAUUGCUGUCUCUGAAAUCUUAAUUCUACAGAUGGGGUCCUCCAGGACAGAAGUGGAAGCAGACCUGUUUCUCUGAAAACACAGCUCAGUUUCAGAGGCAUGCGAAGGCUGUGGCAUUUGAGAUGGACAUGCAUGGCAAAGGGGGAAAGACCAGGCAAAGAUGUGGCAGUUUUCUGAAUUUGCAUUCACAGUCUAAAUUGGCAGUGGAUCCUCUGAUGGGAUUUCAGAUACACACUUCUGUUUCUAAGAGAUACAACAAGACACACACAAGAAGACCAUGCUGGAAAGUCGACGGGGGAUUGGUGUACAGGCUAAAAGGAGGAAGCUGA
RNAcentral lists this long non-coding RNA (668 nucleotides) under Fukomys damarensis (Damara mole-rat). RNAcentral describes it as "lncRNA (ENSFDAG00000029300.1)". The record is from RNAcentral. Lineage: Eukaryota; Metazoa; Chordata; Mammalia; Rodentia; Bathyergidae.